AUUGAACGCUGGCGGCAGGCCUAACACAUGCAAGUCGAACGAGUGGCGGACGGGUGAGUAAUGUCUGGGAAACUGCCCGAUGGAGGGGGAUAACUACUGGAAACGGUAGCUAAUACCGCAUACCAUCGGAUUGGCCCAUAUGGGAUUCGCUAGUAGGUGGGGUAACGGCUCACCUAGGCGACGAUCCCUAGCUGGUCUGAGGGGAUGACCGGCCACACUGGAUCUGAGACACGGUCCAGACUCCUACGGGAGGAAGCAGUGGGGAAUAUUGCACAAUGGGCGCAAGCCUGAUGCAGCCAUGCCGCGUGUAUGAAGAAGGCCUUCGGGUUGUAAAGUACUUUCAGCGAGGAGGCGUUACUCGCAGAAGAAGCACCGGCUAACUCCGUGCCAGCAGCCGCGGUAAUAG
RNAcentral lists this ribosomal RNA (406 nucleotides) under uncultured bacterium. Its description in RNAcentral is "partial 16S ribosomal RNA". It matches the Rfam family "Bacterial small subunit ribosomal RNA", at positions 30 to 526 of the family's 1533-position model. The record is from RNAcentral.